RNAcentral lists this long non-coding RNA (268 nucleotides) under Nicotiana benthamiana. Its description in RNAcentral is "long non-coding RNA (NBEN_LNC026266)". The record is from RNAcentral. Lineage: Eukaryota; Viridiplantae; Streptophyta; Magnoliopsida; Solanales; Solanaceae.
GCCUGUGUCUGUAUAGAUGGAGGAUAUGUUGUUUUGGGACGCUCUAAUCUUCCACUGGGCAUGAAAAUACUUGGUAUUUGCAUCACCACAAGUGAUCCAGCAUGCUUUUGAUUUCUGUCUCAUGACUUGCUCCUCUACUGUGCUCCAAUAUGCAAUGUCUUGUAAGGCUGUUUUCUCUGCAUCAAAAAGAGGUUGUGAUAAAGUAUUAGUCUGCAUCUGACUUUGGAUGAUGUCCAGUGAUUCUCUAGCCUGUACCAGUUUUUGCUUG